Molecule: ribosomal RNA, 1152 nt
Filed under: uncultured Actinomycetes bacterium
Lineage: Bacteria; Bacillati; Actinomycetota; Actinomycetes
Description: bacterial SSU rRNA
Rfam family: Bacterial small subunit ribosomal RNA
Source: RNAcentral
GCCCGCGGCCUAUCAGCUUGUUGGUGGGGUAAUGGCCUACCAAGGCGACGACGGGUAGCCGGCCUGAGAGGGUGACCGGCCACACUGGGACUGAGAUACGGCCCAGACUCCUACGGGAGGCAGCAGUGGGGAAUAUUGCACAAUGGGCGCAAGCCUGAUGCAGCGACGCCGCGUGAGGGAUGACGGCCUUCGGGUUGUAAACCUCUUUCAGUAGGGACGAAGCGCAAGUGACGGUACCUAUAGAAGAAGGACCGGCCAACUACGUGCCAGCAGCCGCGGUAAUACGUAGGGUCCGAGCGUUGUCCGGAAUUACUGGGCGUAAAGAGCUCGUAGGUGGUUUGUCGCAUUGUUCGUGAAAACUCACAGCUCAACUGUGGGCGUGCGGGCGAUACGGGCAGACUAGAGUACUGCAGGGGAGACUGGAAUUCCUGGUGUAGCGGUGGAAUGCGCAGAUAUCAGGAGGAACACCGGUGGCGAAGGCGGGUCUCUGGGCAGUAACUGACGCUGAGGAGCGAAAGCGUGGGGAGCGAACAGGAUUAGAUACCCUGGUAGUCCACGCCGUAAACGGUGGGUACUAGGUGUGGGUUUCCUUCCUUGGGAUCCGUGCCGUAGCUAACGCAUUAAGUACCCCGCCUGGGGAGUACGGCCGCAAGGCUAAAACUCAAAGAAAUUGACGGGGGCCCGCACAAGCGGCGGAGCAUGUGGAUUAAUUCGAUGCAACGCGAAGAACCUUACCUGGGUUUGACAUGCACAGGACGUGCCUAGAGAUAGGUAUUCCCUUGUGGUCUGUGUGCAGGUGGUGCAUGGCUGUCGUCAGCUCGUGUCGUGAGAUGUUGGGUUAAGUCCCGCAACGAGCGCAACCCCUAUCUUAUGUCGCCAGCGGGUUAUGCCGGGGACUCAUAAGAGACUGCCGGGGUCAACUCGGAGGAAGGUGGGGAUGACGUCAAAUCAUCAUGCCCCUUAUGUCUUGGGCUUCACGCAUGCUACAAUGGCCGGUACAAAGGGCUGCGAAACCGUGAGGUGGAGCGAAUCCCAAAAAGCCGGUCUCAGUUCGGAUUGGGGUCUGCAACUCGACCCCAUGAAGUCGGAGUCGCUAGUAAUCGCAGAUCAGCAACGCUGCGGUGAAUACGUUCCCGGGCCUUGUACACACCG